GAGUGAAGGAGAAUGCAAAGGGAGAGUCGAGAUUGAAUAUGACUUCUUCAUCGUCCGAUAAUCAGGAGGACUCCACAACUUGGGAUCCAGUAAAAGGAAUUGCAGAAGAGGAUGAAGAAGAUUAUGAACCUGAGCCUCAUGUACACAUUGCAUCAAAUAAAAGGAAUCAGGAAAACGGUUCAUCCUAUGCAGAAGCCAGGUCGAAAGUCGAGCAAAUUAAUAUAAACCAAAAGCAAUGUCCCAAGGCCUUCCUUUCAAUGGACUCCCCUAAAGUGGAGUCCCCUAAAACUCCUUAUUCACAAGAGCCUUCACCAAAAAAAUCAGACACCCCCUCGAGAAAAGGUGUACCUGUGUUACGCCUUUUGUCUGGACGUGUUAAGGACUCCUCCAUGUCUAAAUCUUUGCAUUUAUCCCAAGAGUUAAAAAUUAACUCUGCAGACUCAGAUGAAGAAAGGACAGUGCAGCAUGAAACUGUGGGGAAAAGAAAUGCUCGAAGGCGGAGCCUUAGUCAAUCCUUAGAAAAAGGCUCCCCGAAUAAUAGUGAUGAAGGAAGUCUCAGCUGCAUUUCUCUCCCAUUG
Molecule: unclassified non-coding RNA, 578 nt
Filed under: Hevea brasiliensis (rubber tree)
Lineage: Eukaryota; Viridiplantae; Streptophyta; Magnoliopsida; Malpighiales; Euphorbiaceae
Source: RNAcentral